UCAGUCUGCGCACGCGCACGGACUAUAAAACGCGGGUUCGCGUGUUCUUUCUUCCCAGUUCCUUCUUCCUUAACCAGGUAUGUGGGCUGUUGGACCACGGAGUUGUGCUGUAGUGCUUACUCAGACUUUGAUCAUACUGGAGCCGAAUGGAUGACCUCAAAUUCAUCAGACUUCGUUUCAGAAGUCAUUCACGCCUUUAAAACCGGAAGAAUUCUGGAGGACCAGAGGAACAUCACAUGAUGAGUGACCUUUUGAAUGGCCACGUGUGAAGGUAUUUUUCAGUAGAUCUUCAUUUGAAGACUGCACUGUCCAUGUGGAGAAGUUGAAGUACAUAAUGGCCCUUCAGUCCAGUGUUUACCAGUUACGGGGGAGAAAAAGCCUUUUAUUCAUGGGAGUUGAGCUACUGUCCUAACAUGGACUUUUUUUUUU
Carassius carassius (crucian carp) is the source of this 429-nucleotide long non-coding RNA. RefSeq lists it as uncharacterized. The transcript has 5 exons. The record is from RefSeq and is a predicted model, not a curated record. NCBI's taxonomy places the organism in Eukaryota, Metazoa, Chordata, Actinopteri, Cypriniformes, Cyprinidae.